UACAAAAGUAUAUGUUUUGUAAGCUAUUAUAAAUAGCAAAUACCUAAUUCCAAUCUUUAAAAAAAAAAUAAAAAUUGCAUUUCAGUAAGAUUUAAUUUAAUAACGGUAAGGUUAGUUUUCCAACUCCCUCCUCAAGCAAGUCUCAUUACUUCAGGUUGCUUGAGCUCUGUCCAGUCCAACUGAACCCUUCAAAAUGGAUGGAGAUGCUGCAAGUUCUGCUGAAUGCUGAUUGCUGCUGUGCAUUGGAACCACAGAACUUUGUGUCUGGGCAUGUCUAACAGGUCCCAAGAGGUGCCUCCUCCAUUUAGGCUUGCAUGAGCCUACUAUGGAAGGGUUUACGUAAGUAGCUCAGGAUUCAAAAGUUAGCACAUUACUUGCAGAAGAGAGGUUUGGAUCCAGAUGAGUGCUGGGAACCUCUUCUUCCACCUUCCUGGGAGACCAGAGCUGCACCAGGUCAGAUCCCCGAUUUGAACCCAUCAUCCACCGAAACAGCUUCCUGCUGCUGUCACAAACAUCUUUUUGUCCCUUUGAAGCUCUUAUUUAACACAAGGCACUGCMUUUGGGACCUGAUGGUGCAUCCUCUACUUUCAAGAACUCAUUCCAUAAGUGAUCAGGAACUAAGCAGCAUGGAAAAGAGGUAUCACAUGAACAGAGAAACACUGUUAUUUUAACUUUUUGCAUACCAUGGUGACUCUGGUUUAGUCCUAGCAGAAUGCACAUGUUUCUCUCUCAGGCUGUGGCUGUGCUGCUGAAUGCUGGGGCUGCAGGCAGGGGAUGGGACACACCUCACAGAACAUGGCCUGACAAAUUCCUAAAUAUGGCAUCAGAAAUUGCUGGAUSUGAGAUAU
Molecule: long non-coding RNA, 848 nt
Organism: Malurus melanocephalus (red-backed fairy wren)
Lineage: Eukaryota; Metazoa; Chordata; Aves; Passeriformes; Maluridae
Exons: 4
Source: RefSeq, a predicted model, not a curated record